UUUUUCCAUUUCAAUUAUUCUUUCUUCCAUCUUUCCUUUGCCCUGUUUUUGGUCGAGAGAAAUCGGGAGGAACAGAGAAGAACAGAGAGAGAGGGGGGGAGAACACUAAGGUGAUCGAAGUUUAAGAGGAAAAGGGUUAAGGUUGGAGUUCUUGAUUGGGCCGUGGAGACCGAGACUAUACAACCGGAAGGCUCAACUCGUUGAGUUAUUUUUGGGGGGUCGUUAUGAGCUAGGAGCCAGACUAACCGCACAUGAUAUCUUUUUGGACAACGGGGAUCAGUGCGGAGGAUCUUUUUGCAGUAGGGCCCACUCCUAGUAUAAGUAGUAAGUUCUUGUAAAAUGUUAUGAUUAAGUUACGACCUGAAACUUAUGUUUAGUUGGGUUAGUGAUAGGGUUGUGGAAAGUACUCUCUUGAGAGUUAUAUAUAUAUAUAUAUAUAUAUCAGAACCUGCUGAAUUGUUAUAUGCUUUUGGUAUAGCUUGCUGAAUUGGUUAACUGUUUGGGAGGUGGAAAACAUGUUAUGAAUAAAUUGUUUAUGUGA
Punica granatum (pomegranate) is the source of this 541-nucleotide non-coding RNA. NCBI's taxonomy places the organism in Eukaryota, Viridiplantae, Streptophyta, Magnoliopsida, Myrtales, Lythraceae. The record is from RefSeq and is a predicted model, not a curated record.